RNAcentral lists this unclassified non-coding RNA (352 nucleotides) under soil metagenome. RNAcentral describes it as "partial contains 5.8S ribosomal RNA, internal transcribed spacer 2, and large subunit ribosomal RNA". The stretch from base 1 to 120 matches the Rfam family "5.8S ribosomal RNA", at positions 35 to 154 of the family's 154-position model. The record is from RNAcentral.
GAUGAAGAACGUAGCGAAAUGCGAUACGUAAUGUGAAUUGCAGAAUUCAGUGAAUCAUCGAGUCUUUGAACGCACAUUGCGCCCGCCAGUAUUCUGGCGGGCACGCCUGUUCGAGCGUCAUUACAACCCUCAGGCCCCCGGGCCUGGCGUUGGGGAUCGGCGGAGCCCCCCGUGGGCACACGCCGUCCCCCAAAUGCAGUGGCGGUCCCGCCGCAGCUUCCAUCGCGUAGUAGCUAACACCUCGCGACUGGAGAGCGGCGCGGCCACGCCGUAAAACACCCAACUCUUCUGAAGUUGACCUCGAAUCAGGUAGGAAUACCCGCUGAACUUAAGCAUAUCAAUAAGCGGAGGA